CCUACGGGUGGCAGCAGUGAGGAAUAUUGGUCAAUGGACGCGAGCCUGAACCAGCCAAGUAGCGUGAAGGAUGACUGCCCUACGGGUUGUAAACUUCUUUUAUAAAGGAAUAAAGUGAGGCACGUGUGCCUUUUUGUAUGUACUUUAUGAAUAAGGAUCGGCUAACUCCGUGCCAGCAGCCGCGGUAAGACGGAGGAUCCGAGCGUUAUCCGGAUUUAUUGGGUUUAAAGGGAACGUAGAUGGGUUGUUAAGUCAGUUGUGAAAGUCUGCGGCUUAACCGUAAAAUUGCAAUUGAUACUGGCAGCCUUGAGUACAGUAGAGGGAGGCGGAAUUCGUGGUGUAGCGGUGAAAUGCUUAGAUAUCACGAAGAACACCGAUUGCGAAGGCAGCUUACUAAACAGCCACUGACAUUGAUGCUCGAAAGUGUGGGUAUCAAACAGGAUUAGAUACCCCAGUAGUC
RNAcentral lists this ribosomal RNA (460 nucleotides) under uncultured bacterium. RNAcentral's name for it is "partial 16S ribosomal RNA". It matches the Rfam family "Bacterial small subunit ribosomal RNA", at positions 338 to 795 of the family's 1533-position model. The record is from RNAcentral.